This 296-nucleotide ribosomal RNA is filed under the name uncultured bacterium. Its description in RNAcentral is "partial 16S ribosomal RNA". It matches the Rfam family "Bacterial small subunit ribosomal RNA", at positions 790 to 1084 of the family's 1533-position model. The record is from RNAcentral.
GUAGUCCACGCCGUAAACGAUGAGUACUAGGUGUAGGCGGUAUCGACCCCGUCUGUGCCGAAGCUAACGCGAUAAGUACUCCGCCUGGGGACUACGGCCGCAAGGCUAAAACUCAAAGGAAUUGACGGGGCCCGCACAAGCAGCGGAGCGUGUGGUUUAAUUCGAUGCUACGCGAAGAACCUCACCCAGGCUUGACAUGCAUGUGGUACUGAUGUGAAAGCAAAGGGACCCUUCGGGGAGCAUGCACAGGUGUUGCACGGCCGUCGUCAGCUCGUGCCGUGAGGUGUUGGGUUAAG